RNAcentral lists this transfer RNA (72 nucleotides) under Camelus bactrianus (Bactrian camel). It matches the Rfam family "tRNA". Rfam says of the family: Transfer RNA (tRNA) molecules are approximately 80 nucleotides in length. RNAcentral also lists the same sequence under 3 other names. Lineage: Eukaryota; Metazoa; Chordata; Mammalia; Artiodactyla; Camelidae. The record is from Rfam by way of RNAcentral.
AAAGGUAUAGCUCAGUGGUAGAGCGCAUACUUAGCAUGCACGAGAUCCUGGGUUCAAUCCCCAGUACCUCCA